GAUAACUUACUUUUAUGAUGAUUGAUUUUUUUUUUCCUUUUGCUAUCUUGAAGUAAUGAUAAAACAAAAUGAAAGGAAAAUGUCAGUGAGCAAAUAACCACCCACUCACACUUUUCUGACUGACAAGAGCAACGUUGCCCUACACAUUCAGUGUUUAGCAUCAGUGACUAUUUUGUAUACAAGGUAUACAAAUUAUUGUGUAUUGGGUAAACUAACAAAACGUUAUUCUGUAAACUGGG
Molecule: non-coding RNA, 239 nt
Organism: Pelobates cultripes (western spadefoot toad)
Lineage: Eukaryota; Metazoa; Chordata; Amphibia; Anura; Pelobatidae
Source: the annotation of a GenBank genome assembly